UAGGGAAUCUUCCGCAAUGGGCGAAAGCCUGCCGGAGCAACGCCGCGUGAGUGAUGAAGGUCUUCGGAUCGUAAAACUCUGUUAUUAGGGAAGAACACAUGUGUAAGUAACUAUGCACGUCUUGACGGUACCUAAUCAGAAAGCCACGGCUAACUACGUGCCAGCAGCCGCGGUACUACGUAGGUGGCAAGCGUUAUCCGGAAUUAUUGGGCGUAAAGCGCGCGUAGGCGGUUUUUUAAAUCUGAUGGGAAAGCCCACGGCUCAACCGUGGAGGGUAAUUGGAACCUGGAAAACUUAAGGACAGAAGAGGAAAGUGGAAUUCCAUGUGUAGCGGUGAAAUGCGCAGAGAUAUGAAGAAACACCAGUGGCGAAGGCGACUUUCUGGUCUGUAACUGACGCUGAUGUGCGAAAGCGGGGGGAUCAAACAGG
Molecule: ribosomal RNA, 429 nt
Filed under: Actinomycetes bacterium
Lineage: Bacteria; Bacillati; Actinomycetota; Actinomycetes
Description: Actinobacteria bacterium partial 16S ribosomal RNA
Rfam family: Bacterial small subunit ribosomal RNA
Source: RNAcentral